AUGCCUCCAGGAAGGGUGAUGGCCCCAGCUCCAGGACAAAAAAAGAGGAUCCUGGAACCUGAUGAACCUGCUCCUGAUAGAGUCACAAGGCAUAAAGCAAAGAUGGCGACUACGACGGACCAUAAGGAAAGUCUGCUGCGGAUGGACUCUGAGACCUCGGUGCAAAUGGGUGAUGAGUUGCCGCCCAUGGAUGAAGAUGCAAUGACUACCAAGACUAGACUUAGAAAGGGCAAAGGGCUAGAGAGAAUCACCAAGUCGCUUGGUAGCAAGGUGCCUAUCCAAAUUGCCGAAGGGAUGAAGCAUCCAGAGAAGCCUCUGCAGGCAGCAAAGCUUGCUUCUGAGUGUGGACUCGUUGCAAGAAGCCAUCUUCCGGUCCUUCCUCACUUCAAGCUAUACAAAAAAAUGCUAGUCUAUUGGAGAACUACAUUGGGAAAGUUGCUGCAAAUUUUGAGAUGA
RNAcentral lists this ribosomal RNA (456 nucleotides) under Triticum aestivum (bread wheat). Its description in RNAcentral is "partial small subunit ribosomal RNA". Lineage: Eukaryota; Viridiplantae; Streptophyta; Magnoliopsida; Poales; Poaceae. The record is from RNAcentral.